This 264-nucleotide ribosomal RNA is filed under the name uncultured bacterium. RNAcentral's name for it is "partial 16S ribosomal RNA". It matches the Rfam family "Bacterial small subunit ribosomal RNA", at positions 28 to 295 of the family's 1533-position model. The record is from RNAcentral.
GACGAACGCUGGCGGCGUGCUUAACACAUGCAAGUCGAGCGGUAAGGCCCGUUUCGGGGGUACACGAGCGGCGAACGGGUGAGUAACACGUGGGUGACCUGCCCUCAGCUCUGGGAUAAGCCUGGGAAACCGGGUCUAAUACCGGAUAUGACUCCAUGACGCAUGUGUGGGUGAAAGCCUUGUGCGGCUGAGGAUGGGCCCGCGGCCUAUCAGCUUGUUGGUGGGGUGAUGGCCUACCAAGGCGACGACGGGUAGCCGGCCUGA